Molecule: long non-coding RNA, 2207 nt
Filed under: Nicotiana tabacum (common tobacco)
Lineage: Eukaryota; Viridiplantae; Streptophyta; Magnoliopsida; Solanales; Solanaceae
Description: long non-coding RNA (NTAB_LNC014442)
Source: RNAcentral
CUUCCAUCAAUCUCCAACGAAAAUCUACUUGUAAGUUCACUUCUGUUUACCUAUCGUUCUUAUUUGUUGCAUGUCUAUAUAAAGUCAUGUAAUAAAAAGUUUUGUCAAAUAAAUAUUAGUAUUAUUACAAGAAAGUUUUAAGAAAAAUAUUCACACAAAAAUCUUCUAUCAAAAGUACUUUUGUACGCACAAAAGUUACGCAAAUUAGCAAGUUUGGACACUUUCAAAAUUGAGAAUAUUCUAAUUCUAUGAAAAAUUAGUCAAGAACUAAUAUCCAAUAAAUCAAAAGUACUAAGCAGCAUCACACACACAAAAAAUUGUUUAACUUAUCAAAGUAUUGGAGUGCACAAUCAUCUUUUGAAAUGGAUCAAUCGAGUUAGAUCACUCCUUCACGAUUAUAGUAAAAAUAUACAAUUGGCUCCAUAGGUCAAUAUUCUUAUUUCUGUAUAUUUGUCCAGUAAUAAACAGACUAUUCGUUAGAGAUAUUUUUUUUUUAAAAAUCGAAUGUUAAUUAGCGUAGACUUUAUUCGGGAAUAUAAGUCUUUGAAAAAGGACUCAUUGUUAAUGUAUAAUUAGGUAGAAACUACCAUACAUGCUACAUGAAUACAAGGGCAUGCUAUUAUAACAAUAGUUAAACCAACGAAUUACUUCAACAUGGGACUACAUAACCAUACGUUUCUCUAUUUAUCUAUAUCUAUCUAUCUAUACUAUAUAUUAAAAGUGGGAACCUCAAACUUAAAAGUUAAAUUACUAAAAUGCCCUCCUUAAUUUUCUAAUUAAGUACCCUAUUGCGUUUAAUAAAACCAUAAAAGACACCUAAAAUUUCUAACGUUGCCUUGCAAAAAUGCUUCGAUAUCAUUGAAAAAGCAGUUUCCAUGUGCUUCAAGCACAUCUAUGAUUUUGGAGAUAAGCGGACUCGAACCGUUGACAUCCGCCGCAGGGUAAACCACCGCCUCUCAAGAGUAUUUGAUGAAACGGUGGAAGCUUUUACAAUACCCUUCUUAAUUACUUAAGAACCCCAUUUUAAAAAAAAAAAGUAAUUAAGAAGAAUGCCUAUAAUUUCUAACGUUGCUUUGGUUGAGAGAAGUUACUGAAACGAUGACAGCUUUUGUUAUUGAGAAAGCAUCUCUACUUGAGAACCCAGUAAACUGAAACCUGCAUUAAUUAACCUAUACACGAAUAAAGCUUCUUCUUUAUAUUUUCAAGUAGUACGUUUACAUCAUAUAAGUUCAUUUACAUUCAUCCGAAAGAACAAUGUAAGGUAUGACCAACGCUCCCAAACCAGGUGAUUAACCAAUCGUCUUGCUUGAUCACGAAAUAGGAAAUUGCCGAAAAACACAUACGAAUAACUAACUGCUGGCCAAGUGCUUUUCUUACUGUCUUGUGAUUAAUCCAAUACCGGAAAUAUAGCAUCCAACUUUUCUUUACUACCCAGGACUUCGAUACAUUAAGAAAUUAGGUAGAAGAAUAAAAUUUUUAGCAUUAGGAUUUCAUAUUUGUACAGGCCCCUUUCAAUACCACGGAAAGCAUCCCUAUUAAUCAGGUAAAGCGAGGUUAACACUGCUUCAAACCAUAAAGACUUUUGAAGAUUCAUCUCAAAGGAAAGUGCCCUAAUAACUUCCAAUAAAUGUCUCUUUUUCCAUUCUGCAACCCCAUUUUGCUGUGGGGUGUAUGGGCAUGUCAUUUGAGACUCAAUACCUUGUUUGUCCAAAUAUCCCUACAGCAGUUUUUGGGAAAUGUACUUUCUACCAUUAUCUGACUUAAGUCUUUUUAUAGAAAUUGAGAAUUAAAUUAAAUGUUUCUCCAGGAAGACCGAGAAUGAAGAAUGCAUAACUAAAGUGAAAAUGGGAGACGCCUUUAAUUUCUUGGGAACAACAUGCAAAUUUGGCCAACAACAUGCAACCGGUUGGAAAUUAAAGGAUAUCGAAUAGGAUUGUAUUUGAUCUAUUAUUUAGUUCGGUCGUGGUACAUGAUGGAGUGUUAUCCUAUCAAAAGAUUCAUGGAUCGUAUAGGAUUAAUUUGAAUCUGAUACUGAGAAAGGAUCCUACAUUGUUGGUGAAGAGUCGAUUUGGAAAAUCUUAACUAAUGCUACUUCGUCGGGUCGCCUCAUGCCGUAGUGAAGUUCAUUGCAAUGUUAUUCUUCUGUGCUUAUAUACUCCUAUUUAAUUUAUCGCUUGACGUAAAAGAAAAAUUCCUAUGUAAGCGAA